Molecule: ribosomal RNA, 497 nt
Filed under: uncultured bacterium
Lineage: Bacteria
Description: partial 16S ribosomal RNA
Rfam family: Bacterial small subunit ribosomal RNA
Source: RNAcentral
GAUGAACGCUGGCGGCGUGCUUAAUACAUGCAAGUCGAGCGAACAGACGAGGAGCUUGCUCCUCUGACGUUAGCGGCGGACGGGUGAGUAACACGUGGAUAACCUACCUAUAAGACUGGGAUAACUUCGGGAAACCGGAGAUAAUACCGGAUAAUAUAUUGAACCACAUGGUUCAAUAGUGAAAGACGGCUUUGCUGUCAAUUCUAGUUGGAUCCGCGCCGCAUUAGCUAGUUGGUAAGGUAACGGCUUACCAAGGCGACUAUGCGUAGCCGACCGGAGAGGGUGAUCGGCCACACUGGAUCUGAGACACGGUCCAGACUCCUACGGGAGGCAGCAGUAGGGAAUCUUCCGCAAUGGGGGAGAGCCUGACGGAGCAACGCCGCGUGAGUGAUGAAGGUCUUCGGAUCGUAAAGCUCUGUUAUUAGGGAAGAACAAAUGUGUAAGUAGCUAUGAACGUCUUGACGGUACCUGAUCAGAAAGCCACGGCUAACUACGUG